UUGCUGUAGCUUAAAACAAAGCAUAGCAUUGAAAAUGCUAAAAUGGUCCUACCCACCAAC
This 60-nucleotide transfer RNA is filed under the name Vipera eriwanensis. RNAcentral describes it as "tRNA-Phe". The record is from RNAcentral. RNAcentral also lists the same sequence under 2 other names. Lineage: Eukaryota; Metazoa; Chordata; Lepidosauria; Squamata; Viperidae.